CAAUAGCGUAUACUAAAGUUGUUGCAGUUAAAAAGCUCGUAGUCGAAUCGGGGCUUGGUGCGCGUCCCGGGCAAAUCUUUUUUUGACCCUUUAGCGUAUCAAGCCCAGUCUUGUUAUCACAGGGCCCAUCCCUUAAUUGGGUGGCCAAGAGAUAGCAUUUUUUACUGUGAACAAAAUAGAGUGUUCAUGGCAGGCCUUUAAAUGGCUUAGAUACCUCAGCAUGGAAUAAUAGAAUAGGACUUCCGGUUCUAUUUUGUUGGUUUUUGGAGCCGAAGUAAUGAUUAAUAGGGAUAGUUGGGGGCACUCGUACUCCGUUGUCAGAGGUGAAAUUCUUGGAUUUACGGAAGACGGACAACUGCGAAAGCAUCUGCCAAGGAUGUUUUCAUUGAUCAAGAACGAAAGUUAAGGGAUCGAAGACGAUCAGAUACCAU
This 431-nucleotide ribosomal RNA is filed under the name uncultured eukaryote. RNAcentral describes it as "SSU rRNA". It matches the Rfam family "Eukaryotic small subunit ribosomal RNA", at positions 592 to 1018 of the family's 1831-position model. The record is from RNAcentral.